AUGCUCACUUCAGCAGCACAUAUAUUAAAAUUGGAUUAAUAUAGAGAAUAUUUGUAUGGCCCCUGUGCAAGGAUGGUAUGCAAAUUUGUGAAGGGUUCCAUAUUUUU
This is a small nuclear RNA of Pipistrellus kuhlii (Kuhl's pipistrelle), 107 nucleotides long. The record is from RefSeq and is a predicted model, not a curated record. NCBI's taxonomy places the organism in Eukaryota, Metazoa, Chordata, Mammalia, Chiroptera, Vespertilionidae.